UUUCUAUGCGCCAGACGGCGCACUAAAACAGCAGAACAGAGGUGCAGUUUUUUUCUGAGGUUGGAGGCAGGAGGGGAGAAAAAAAUCUUCACAAAGGUCCUCUCUGCACGAAGAGUCACCCGGCAGAUAACUAAUUUCCUGCAGGCCUGUUCAGAACCCUCAGCUCAAAAUGAGGGGAAUGCGCACAGCCGGCGGUGUUGAAGAGCACCUGCUAUACGGGAGAAGCGUCCUUUGUCCCAAAUAUGACAAAUCCACGUCGGAUCCAACCCCCAAAAUCCUUUGUUUGGCUUCUUCCUGCCGUCGGUGCGUCUAUGCUGCUCCGGCGCACCUCGUGUCCAUUUGAUGCAGCCAAAAAAUUAAAAAGAAAAAAGAAAGAAAGAAACCAAAAGGCCCUUGGUGCGGACUCCGGAGGCUGCAGCAGCAGCCGACGCGUCGUGCCGCACUGUGCGCAAACUGGCCGCGUGUCUCUCCUCCAAGCGAGACGAAGCAAAGAGAGAGCGAGCCUGUGCAAUUGAAAUUUCUUCCCUCGUCUCUCCCUCCGUUGGAGCUGCACGGCCUCCACAUCUUAAGCUGAAUGAAGGGGAGAGUCGUCCCUGUGCAUUACAAUGACACCCAGGCCCCAUUCAUUCAGUCACUGUCUAAUGGUCUUUGGACAGCAAAUGCACCCCCAUCGGGGGGUCACAGCUCCCUUAUUACACCUCCCCAAUCCCAACACGCAGCCUCCCACAAUAGCCCCAACAAAAGAGAAAGGAGAGUCGGCCCCAUGUGUGAAUCGCGGCUCCUGGACUUUGGAGGUGCACGUUAGAA
Thalassophryne amazonica is the source of this 807-nucleotide long non-coding RNA. RefSeq lists it as uncharacterized. The transcript has 2 exons. Lineage: Eukaryota; Metazoa; Chordata; Actinopteri; Batrachoidiformes; Batrachoididae. The record is from RefSeq and is a predicted model, not a curated record.